Molecule: non-coding RNA, 429 nt
Organism: Peromyscus maniculatus bairdii (prairie deer mouse)
Lineage: Eukaryota; Metazoa; Chordata; Mammalia; Rodentia; Cricetidae
Source: the annotation of a RefSeq genome assembly
CUCACCAUGGGUUGGAGCUGGAUCAUUGUCUUCCUUGUGUCAUUAACUACAGGUGUCCACUGCCAGGUCCAGCUGCAGCAGUCUGGUCCCGAGUUGGGGAAACCUGGUUCCACAGUGAAGUUGUCCUGCAAGGCUUCUGGCUACUCUUUCACUAGCUAUGAUAUCAACUGGUUGAAGCAGAGGCCUGGACAGGGCCUGGAGUAUAUUGGAUGGAUUUAUCCUGGAGAUGGUGAUAUUGGCUGUGCUGAGAAGUUCCAGGGCAAGGCCACACUGACUAUAGACACAUCCUCCAGCACAGCCUACAUGCAGCUCAGCAGCCUGAUAUCUGAGGACUCUGUGGUCUAUUACUGUGCAAGACACACAGUGCUGCAACCACAUCCUGAGUGUGGUCAGAAGCCCUGCAGGAACAGGAAGUUGCCCUGGGACUGA